Molecule: long non-coding RNA, 626 nt
Filed under: Olea europaea subsp. europaea
Lineage: Eukaryota; Viridiplantae; Streptophyta; Magnoliopsida; Lamiales; Oleaceae
Source: RNAcentral
UCUGCCUACACUGUCAAAAAUUAAAUUGUGUUUUGAUUAUAUCAACUAAAGUUGAAUUGGAAAUCUUCAAUGUUAAAGGAGAUUUUAGCCUCUGGCGCUAGAAAAUGCGAGCUCUUUUACUUCAACAAAAAUGUACAAAAGACAUUGAUGAGUCAUGGUCUGAUGAUAUGGAAGAAACUAAGAAAAUUGAACUUGUUGAAACUGCAUGGAGUUCUAUAUUCUUGCAUUUGUUUGACAAUGUGUUAAGAGAGAUUUGUGAGACAAAAACUGCUGCUGAGUUAUGGAAAAAAUUGGAAGAUACUUAUUUGAAUAAAACCAUGCCCAAUAAAGUGUAUUUUCUAAAACAAUUUUUUGGCUUCAAAUUGGACCCAUCUCUUGAUCUUGAGGCAAACAUUGAUAGAUUCAACAGAUUAUCUCAUGACCUGGCUGACUGUGAUGGGAAACUCUCAAAAGAUCAGUUGGCUGUGGUUUUGUUAAAUUCAGUAAGUGAUAAAUGUAGAGAUGUUAAAAAUGUUAUUGAAUAUGGUAGGGAGACUCUAACUACUGAUGUGAUAAUAAAUUCAUUGAGAAACUAAGAGUUAGAGUUAAAAUCUGAAAAGAGAGAAUUUGUUAGUGGUAAAAAUUUG